AAGGCAAACAAGAACAGCAUGCGGAUCAGAUGUGUCCUCGUGUACUCUCUUUUUUUUUUGCUUGUUCCAAACCGUGGGAGGAGAAGGAACAGGAGGGAAGGGACGAGAGGAUUGGAGGAGAUCGGUGCAAGAACACAACUUUAUCGGACGGCCGUGCAGCUGGAGAGAAUUCGACACCAAAGGGACGUCUCAUAGGAGAUCUUUGGACAACACCGAAUCACAAAAUUGCUUGAAAGCUCAUUCGCGUCCAUCUGUCUUUGUCUUUUGAGUGUGAAAAACUGCACUGGUCUUUUCUCUACAGAAACACAAUUCUGAGAAUUUCCUCCAACGGUAUUCAUCACUGCGGCAGGACAAUUUAAGGGUCCCUGUGGGCUCAGACAACGCGCAUCGAGGGAAUAACCGGUGAUCCUGGCCAGGUGCACUGAAAAGAGAGGAAAUUAAUGUUUGUUUGUUUUUUUUGCCCCUUUCACACAUGGAAGAACACUCAUCACCCGUCGAUCUGCUCCACCUCCGUGUGACACGGUUUAAUAUCGGGUCUAACACAGAGCCGUGUGUUCUACAAAGUGUCAGCAAAUAGUAAACAAGACUCAUUAUAAUGUCCCAUGGGACAAAAAAAGGGAAAAGAGCGCUUGAUUGAUUCACCAAGAUCAUUUUCUGAGAUGCAGCCUAAGAGGCCCGUCCACCUCAUUAUGCAGCCCGGCGCCCAGAGCUUCCUCCCGUGCUUGAAGUCGCUGCUGAUUACAAAUGCUCAUGGCAGCGGCUCUUCCUCCUCUGGAUCCUUAUUAGCAAUUACAGCACCACAGGGCCUAUUUAUACGCAUGUGCCGCGACGGGGCGCUGCAGUGACGGCGCAGGCGUACAGCAGCUCUAAUUAGCUGCAGCCCAGGAAUGCUAAACGAGGGAGGGUGGAGGGAAGAAGGAGAGGAAGGAUGAGAGGGAAGGAAUGAUAGGUGACACAGAUCAUUUGAGACGGCUCUGCGUGUUCCAUCGGAGCAACGAGGACCAGAUGCAGCGAAAUGAAGCUCUUUGUCUCGGAGGCUCCGGAUCGAAGCGCUCAGCCGCUCUGCAACAGGACCGAAGGCUCGGCCCGAGUUAACGUUUGUCAGGGCCGGAGGUUCUGCAGGAGCAAGUUUCCACAUUUCACACACCGGAUCUGACUUGUCCAGGGACCACAAUGAUGGAGGAGGAGGAAGAGGAGGAGGAGGAGGAGGAGGAGGGUUAUGAGACAACAGGCCCCGAGAUACAGACACGCAAAAAGCCCCGCUUAUAGGAGCAAGAGCCCCAUUUAACAGAUGUUGUUCUGUGUCUUUGUGGCCGUUACAAUCUGUGGUUGUUUCGACUCCUCGUGUAGUCAUUUUGUGCCACUCAGUAGUUGUAGUUGGUUUGACUCUUUUCUGCAUUUGCAGUCAUUUUGUGUCUCUUAAGCUGAGUGUCUUUGUAAUGAUGUUGUGUCUCAUUCUGUCCCUUUGGUGUCUGUUGCAACUUGGUCUCUUAAGUCAUUUUGGAGUCUCUUAAGUCAUUUUGGAGCCCCCAUGUAGCUGAUUUAUUUCCCUUUGUAGUCGUUAUUUGCCUCUUUGUGGUAGUUCAUCCCCUUUUUGUAGUCUCUUCCAUCACUUGUUUGUUGCCUCUUUAUUGCGUUCAGUCUGUUUGUAGUCAUUUAAUGUCUCCUUGUUGUUGUCGUCCCUCUCUUCAGUUAUUUGUUGUGUCAUUGUGUCUUUGUAUCGCUCUAUACCAGGAAUUACUAUAAUAAGAUAAUUCUUGAAUUAUUAAUUAAUAAUAAUAAUGCUUAUUAUCAAUAUUUGGUUUUAGUUGUUAUUGCCAUUGAUGAUAAACCCUGGCUGAAUUACUAAUGACAAUGUGGGAAACGACGGGUGAAUGUAUGAUUCACACAAAUGAACAUUAUUAUUUUAUUGGCCCACUUUAGAAAGUUCAAUCCUGUCGGAACGACAUAUGUGAAAAAUAAUAAAAGCCUGUUGGCAAAAGGCCGGUGUGUG
Molecule: long non-coding RNA, 1993 nt
Organism: Gasterosteus aculeatus aculeatus (three-spined stickleback)
Lineage: Eukaryota; Metazoa; Chordata; Actinopteri; Perciformes; Gasterosteidae
Source: Ensembl